RNAcentral lists this ribosomal RNA (490 nucleotides) under uncultured bacterium. RNAcentral describes it as "partial 16S ribosomal RNA". It matches the Rfam family "Bacterial small subunit ribosomal RNA", at positions 29 to 507 of the family's 1533-position model. The record is from RNAcentral.
AGUGAACGCUGGCGGUAGGCCUAACACAUGCAAGUCGAACGGCAGCACAGGAGAGCUUGCUCUCUGGGUGGCGAGUGGCGGACGGGUGAGGAAUACAUCGGAAUCUGCCCAGUCGUGGGGGAUAACGUAGGGAAACUUACGCUAAUACCGCAUACGACCUUCGGGUGAAAGAGGGGGAUCGCAAGACCUCUCGCGAUUGGAUGAGCCGAUGUCGGAUUAGCUAGUUGGCGGGGUAAUGGCCCACCAAGGCGACGAUCCGUAGCUGGUCUGAGAGGAUGAUCAGCCACACUGGAACUGAGACACGGUCCAGACUCCUACGGGAGGCAGCAGUGGGGAAUAUUGGACAAUGGGCGCAAGCCUGAUCCAGCCAUACCGCGUGGGUGAAGAAGGCCUUCGGGUUGUAAAGCCCUUUUGUUGGGAAAGAAAUCUUUCAGGCUAAUACCCUGGGAGGAUAACGGUACCCAAAGAAUAAGCACCGGCUAACUUCGUG